CUUGACUUUCUACACGCCGAUUAGCCUCCGUCAAAGAACAAAUUUUCUCGAUUCACCUUCUCCCACAAACCAUAAUAUCUUGCACAGUUUCUUAAUGUAAAUGCACAAUCGAAAUCAAUUCUGAAAACUGAAGAGGAUAUUAUGACUUCUCAAUUACUCCACCGCUUCCUGAUCAUUAUAUAAACUGUCUAGGAUCGUGAUUUACGAUUCACCUCCUUAUCACAAGAAAGCCCAACCGAUCGAUGGUUUUGCCUCUCAGAAGAACAUCCAGUAGCUGUGCACGGAAGCUCUGAUCUCUGCUCCAGUUCAUUUUUAUGACAUUGAGAUUAUGGUGCCAACACGUAACUCCACAGCUUACGAUGAUUACCUUCAGGUCAGUCUCUAUCUUUCUAAAUGUUUUUUUCCAUUCAGCAGGAUGUGUGACAGGCUUUCAACAGCAACCUCUCAUCCUCUUUCUGAAUUUAUCUUCUUUCUUAACAACCAUUGUUAACAAUUGAGUGACAUGGACAAGGUAAAGAUCAUGCAUGAGCUCUCAUCCGCAUCUUUCUCAGUCUCUCGCUCUAUUUUUUUCUGUUUAGUUUAUAGGUAAAUUUUUAAGCUUUCUUGAUUGGAUCAGUGGCUGAGAAGAUAGAGAGCUUUGCAUCAACAGCUUGGAAACCACAAAGAGGCGUACCUAUAAAAUAUGUGUCUCCUUAGCUCUUUGAACAUUUCCUGAAUCCGUAAGUGUUGAUUAAGAGACAUCCUUCUUGCUUCUUUUUGUUUAAUUAAUAACCAUUUCUAGCGUUUUGAAGAUAUUUCAGAAGGAAUCAGACAAAAUCAUGCUUGCGAGUGGUGGUUCUUUGCUCUGUCUUUUUUUUUGUGUGUACAAAAUAUUUUUAAUGGUAGUUCUUUUUCAUACAGGAAAAUUGAAAGACUCAAAGAAGAGAGGAAAUAAUCUUUUUUGCUUCUGUGCAAGUGAUUAGAAGGUUGCAUAUAAACAGUGAUUGUUAUUUGCUGCUUCAGUGAGUUUUGAGUACUCCUUAUGGAAGAAAUUGAUAGUCUCUGUCACUUUAGCCUUCACUGAACAUUGAUAAUCCAGUUAUAAUAUUUAGCAAUCGUCAAAAGCAGAAAUGAACAUUUGUUCGAAGUGAUCAGCUCGAGAGAUGAUGUGCUUAGGACGUUGAUGAGAAGGCGUACGUAUCUCAGGAAGCUGUUAGGGAUGAUGAUAUUGACUUCAAUGGUAUUCCAUCGACUGAGUCAUUCUAGGUGUUCAAUGAGAUUAGUAAGUACUGGAAGAAGAGGGUUAUAACUCCUGUUAUCAUUACUCUGGCCAAGGGUGUGGAAGCAGAGUUUGAACCUCAUCCUUGGAUUGUUACUCAUGUUUAAAUGAUCUAACGAGCAUGUAAAAUCAUUUUUCAAGUCUUCUUUAUAUGUUUGCUAGAAUAGAUGAAUAUUUGAUGUCAACCUCCUCAGUAUUUUCAUGACAGAGAGAUUCUGUUUGUUAUUGUUUGAUAUUGUGUAUGGGUUAUUUACCAGAAAUAACAAAUCGCUUGAUUGUGUGUAAUGUUAGUAAGAAUCAUUAGCCGCUACUAUUACCCACUGCAUCCAUGGCUAGCAACAUUUUCUUCCUAAGAAGCAUCAGCCCCAAAAAAUGGAAUUCUUCUUCUGAUGGCUUUCACACAGGGUGAAUGGCAUCAACAAGCAUGGAAACAUCACUAUGCUAGAUAAGUAUGGAGGGGAAAAGCCUUCUUCUGCAGAACAAAAUAAAAAAAAAUGGAACCAUCUUGAUGCGCCUAUCUUUGCCUCACGUUAUUCACUUGGACGUUGGCUUAGCACUGGCGGGAAGUUUUGUUUUAUUACUUGGAUUUUAAGCUAUCGUUUGGCUGCUGAAACAUGAGUUAGAUAGACAUUGUCAUCUUCUUAUAUCAAAUCCAUGAAAAGACUAUCAUGAUUUACUCUGUUAUGGGUAUUGUUAUAGCUUUCAAGAACA
This is a long non-coding RNA of Raphanus sativus (radish), 1969 nucleotides long. RefSeq lists it as uncharacterized. NCBI's taxonomy places the organism in Eukaryota, Viridiplantae, Streptophyta, Magnoliopsida, Brassicales, Brassicaceae. The transcript has 6 exons. The record is from RefSeq and is a predicted model, not a curated record.